GCAAACUUGGUCAUUUAGAGGAAGUAAAAGUCGUAACAAGGUCUCCGUAGGUGAACCUGCGGAGGGAUCAUUACAAGUGACCCCCGGCUCCGGCAGGGGAUGUUCAUAACCCUUUGUUGUCCGACUCUGUUGCCUCCGGGGCGACCCUGCCUUUCCGGGCGGGGGCCCCGGCUGGACACCACAAAACUCUUGCGUAACUUUGCAGUCUGAGUAAAUUUUAAUUAAUAAAUUAAAACUUUCAACAACGGAUCUCUUGGUUCUGGCAUCGAUGAAGAACGCAGC
RNAcentral lists this unclassified non-coding RNA (282 nucleotides) under uncultured fungus. RNAcentral describes it as "partial contains small subunit ribosomal RNA, internal transcribed spacer 1, and 5.8S ribosomal RNA". The stretch from base 1 to 73 matches the Rfam family "Eukaryotic small subunit ribosomal RNA", at positions 1759 to 1831 of the family's 1831-position model. Lineage: Eukaryota; Fungi. The record is from RNAcentral.